Molecule: long non-coding RNA, 160 nt
Organism: Thalassophryne amazonica
Lineage: Eukaryota; Metazoa; Chordata; Actinopteri; Batrachoidiformes; Batrachoididae
Exons: 3
Source: RefSeq, a predicted model, not a curated record
ACAUGAAGCAGGGUUCAGUCAUGAAGCAGGGCUCAUACAUGAAGCAGGGUUCAGUCAUGAAGCAGGGUUCUUACAUGAAGCAGGGUUCAUUUUCCUCAGCGUCCUGCUCACUUUGACAGAAGCUGCGGUUUCGAAGCAGGACCUUUGAUUGCUUCGAGUC